This 17-nucleotide ribosomal RNA is filed under the name Pseudomethoca contumax. RNAcentral describes it as "partial 28S ribosomal RNA". Lineage: Eukaryota; Metazoa; Arthropoda; Insecta; Hymenoptera; Mutillidae. The record is from RNAcentral. RNAcentral also lists the same sequence under 1 other name.
ACCUCAGAGCAGGCGAA